RNAcentral lists this ribosomal RNA (484 nucleotides) under uncultured bacterium. RNAcentral's name for it is "partial 16S ribosomal RNA". It matches the Rfam family "Bacterial small subunit ribosomal RNA", at positions 30 to 507 of the family's 1533-position model. The record is from RNAcentral.
AUUGAACGCUGGCGGCAGGCCUAACACAUGCAAGUCGAGCGGAUGAAGGGAGCUUGCUCCUGGAUUCAGCGGCGGACGGGUGAGUAAUGCCUAGGAAUCUGCCUGGUAGUGGGGGAUAACGUCCGGAAACGGGCGCUAAUACCGCAUACGUCCUGAGGGGGAAAGUGGGGGAUCUUCGGACCUCACGCUAUCAGAUGAGCCUAGGUCGGAUUAGCUAGUUGGUGGGGUAAAGGCCUACCAAGGCGACGAUCCGUAACUGGUCUGAGAGGAUGAUCAGUCACACUGGAACUGAGACACGGUCCAGACUCCUACGGGAGACAGCAGUGGGGAAUAUUGGACAAUGGGCGAAAGCCUGAUCCAGCCAUGCCGCGUGUGUGAAGAAGGUCUUCGGAUUGUAAAGCACUUUAAGUUGGGAGGAAGGGCAGUAAGUUAAUACCUUGCUGUUUUGACGUUACCAACAGAAUAAGCACCGGCUAACUUCGUG